RNAcentral lists this ribosomal RNA (459 nucleotides) under uncultured bacterium. RNAcentral describes it as "partial 16S ribosomal RNA". It matches the Rfam family "Bacterial small subunit ribosomal RNA", at positions 338 to 794 of the family's 1533-position model. The record is from RNAcentral.
CCUACGGGGGACAGCAGUGAGGAAUAUUGGUCAAUGGACGAAAGUCUGAACCAGCCAAGUAGCGUGAAGGAUGACUGCCCUAUGGGUUGUAAACUUCUUUUAUAUGGGAAUAAAAUGUUCCACGUGUGGGAUUUUGUAUGUACCAUAUGAAUAAGGAUCGGCUAACUCCGUGCCAGCAGCCGCGGUAAUACGGCGGAUCCGAGUGUUAUCCGGAUUUAUUGGGUUUAAGGGGAGCGUAGGCGGAUUGUUAAGUCAGUUGUGAAAUUUUGCGGCUCAACCGUAAAAUUGCAGUUGAAACUGGCAGUUGUGAGUACAGGAGAGGAGGGCGGAAUUCGUGGGGUAGCGGUGAAAUGGUUAGAUAUCACGAAGAACUCCGAUGGCGAAGGCAGCUCACGGGACUGCAACUGACACUGAGGCUCGAAAGUGUGGGUAUCAAACAGGAUUAGAUACCCCGGUAGU